UUUCCGGUUGAUCCUGCCGCCGGCCACCGCUAUCAAGUUCCGACUAAGCCAUGCGAGUCAAGGUAUCGUAAGAUGCCGGCAAACUGCUCAGUAACACGUGGAUAAUCUAACCUUGAGUAAGGGAUAACCUCGGGAAACUGAGGAUAAUACCUUAUAAUUGCUUAAAACUGGAAUGUUUAAGCAAUAAAAGUUCCGACGCUCAAGGAUGAGUCUGCGACCUAUCAGGUAGUAGGUGGUGUAAUGGACCACCUAGCCUCAGACGGGUACGGGCCCUGGGAGGGGUAGCCCGGAGAUGGACUCUGAGACAUCAGUCCAGGCCCUACGGGGCGCAGCAGGCGCGAACACUGUGCAAUGCGCGAAAGCGCGACACGGGGAGCUUGAGUGUCUUGGCAUAGCCAAGACUUUUCUCAUUCCUAAAAAGCAUGAGGAAUAAGUGCUGGGUAAGACGGGUGCCAGCCGCCGCGGUAACACCCGCAGCACAAGUGGUGGUCACUUUUAUUGAGCCUAAAGCGUUCGUAGCCGGUUUUGUAAAUCUUCAGAUAAAGCCUGAAGCUUAACUCCAGAAAGUCUGAAGAGACUGCAAGACUUGAGAUCGGGUGAGGUUAAACGUACUUUCAGGGUAGGGGUAAAAUCCUGUAAUCCCGGAAGGACGACCAGUGGCGAAAGCGUUUAACUAGAACGAAUCUGACGGUAAGGAACGAAGGCUAGGGUAGCAAACCGGAUUAGAUACCCGGGUAGUCCUAGCUGUAAACACUGCCCAUUUGAUGUUGCUUUUCCGUUGAGGGAAGGCAGUGUCGGAGCGAAGGUGUUAAAUGGGCCGCUUGGGAAGUAUGGUCGCAAGGCUGAAACUUAAAGGAAUUGGCGGGGGAGCACCGCAACGGGAGGAAUGUGCGGUUUAAUUGGAUUCAACGCCGGA
Molecule: ribosomal RNA, 916 nt
Filed under: uncultured archaeon
Lineage: Archaea
Description: bacterial SSU rRNA
Rfam family: Archaeal small subunit ribosomal RNA
Source: RNAcentral